CACAGGUGGGAUUGCGUUUUGAAAUAUUGAAUAGGCAUUAAGUGUGAUUAGGUGGCCAUGGCCCCCACACCCGUUAGCCCAUUGGGCUAACCCGUUUAUGCGGGUUUGAGUCGGGGGGUGGGCUUGAGUUCUAAGAGGAGAGUUAGAGGAAUAACCGAAGGAAGGAUGAAAUCUAUAGAUAUUGGUUGGAACAUCAAAAGCGACAGCAUCACUCUAUUUUAGGACUGACACUGAAUCACUAAAGUGUGGGGAGCAAACCGGAUUAGAUACCCGUGUAGU
This 279-nucleotide ribosomal RNA is filed under the name uncultured bacterium. RNAcentral describes it as "partial 16S ribosomal RNA". It matches the Rfam family "Bacterial small subunit ribosomal RNA", at positions 549 to 794 of the family's 1533-position model. The record is from RNAcentral.